ACUCGCUGUGAAGAUGCAGUGUACCCGCGGCAAGACGGAAAGACCCCGUGAACCUUUACUAUAGCUUGACACUGAACAUUGAGCCUUGAUGUGUAGGAUAGGUGGGAGGCUUUGAAGCGUGGACGCCAGUCUGCGUGGAGCCGACCUUGAAAUACCACCCUUUAAUGUUUGAUGUUCUAACGUGGACCCGUAAUCCGGGUUGCGGACAGUGUCUGGUGGGUAGUUUGACUGGGGCGGUCUCCUCCUAAAGAGUAACGGAGGAGCACGAAGGUUGGCUAAUCCUGGUCGGACAUCAGGAGGUUAGUGCAAUGGCAUAAGCCAGCUUGACUGCGAGCGUGACGGCGCGAGCAGGUGCGAAAGCAGGUCAUAGUGAUCCGGUGGUUCUGAAUGGAAGGGCCAUCGCUCAACGGAUAAAAGGUACUCCGGGGAUAACAGGCUGAUACCGCCCAAGAGUUCAUAUCGACGGCGGUGUUUGGCACCUCGAUGUCGGCUCAUCACAUCCUGGGGCUGAAGUAGGUCCCAAGGGUAUGGCUGUUCGCCAUUUAAAGUGGUACGCGAGCUGGGUUUAGAACGUCGUGAGACAGUUCGGUCCCUAUCUGCCGUGGGCGCUGGAGAACUGAGGGGGGCUGCUCCUAGUACGAGAGGACCGGAGUGGACGCAUCACUGGUGUUCGGGUUGUCAUGCCAAUGGCACUGCCCGGUAGCUAAAUGCGGAAGAGAUAAGUGCUGAAAGCAUCUAAGCACGAAACUUGCCCCGA
RNAcentral lists this ribosomal RNA (757 nucleotides) under Salmonella enterica. Its description in RNAcentral is "partial 23S ribosomal RNA". It matches the Rfam family "Bacterial large subunit ribosomal RNA", at positions 2046 to 2802 of the family's 2925-position model. Lineage: Bacteria; Pseudomonadati; Pseudomonadota; Gammaproteobacteria; Enterobacterales; Enterobacteriaceae. RNAcentral also lists the same sequence under 1 other name. The record is from RNAcentral.